This 1006-nucleotide ribosomal RNA is filed under the name Staphylococcus equorum. RNAcentral describes it as "bacterial SSU rRNA". It matches the Rfam family "Bacterial small subunit ribosomal RNA", at positions 47 to 1034 of the family's 1533-position model. Lineage: Bacteria; Bacillati; Bacillota; Bacilli; Caryophanales; Staphylococcaceae. The record is from RNAcentral.
UNCUAUNCUGCAGUCGAGCGACGGAUAAGGAGCUUGCUCCUUUGAAGUUAGCGGCGGACGGGUGAGUAACACGUGGGUAACCUACCUAUAAGACUGGAAUAACUUCGGGAAACCGGAGCUAAUGCCGGAUAACAUUUGGAACCGCAUGGUUCUAAAGUAAAAGAUGGUUUUGCUAUCACUUAUAGAUGGACCCGCGCCGUAUUAGCUAGUUGGUAAGGUAACGGCUUACCAAGGCAACGAUACGUAGCCGACCUGAGAGGGUGAUCGGCCACACUGGAACUGAGACACGGUCCAGACUCCUACGGGAGGCAGCAGUAGGGAAUCUUCCGCAAUGGACGAAAGUCUGACGGAGCAACGCCGCGUGAGUGAUGAAGGUUUUCGGAUCGUAAAACUCUGUUAUUAGGGAAGAACAAAUGUGUAAGUAACUGUGCACAUCUUGACGGUACCUAAUCAGAAAGCCACGGCUAACUACGUGCCAGCAGCCGCGGUAAUACGUAGGUGGCAAGCGUUAUCCGGAAUUAUUGGGCGUAAAGCGCGCGUAGGCGGUUUCUUAAGUCUGAUGUGAAAGCCCACGGCUCAACCGUGGAGGGUCAUUGGAAACUGGGAAACUUGAGUACAGAAGAGGAAAGUGGAAUUCCAUGUGUAGCGGUGAAAUGCGCAGAGAUAUGGAGGAACACCAGUGGCGAAGGCGACUUUCUGGUCUGUAACUGACGCUGAUGUGCGAAAGCGUGGGGAUCAAACAGGAUUAGAUACCCUGGUAGUCCACGCCGUANACGAUGAGUGCUAAGUGUUAGGGGGUUUCCGCCCCUUAGUGCUGCAGCUAACGCAUUAAGCACUCCGCCUGGGGAGUACGACCGCAAGGUUGAAACUCAAAGGAAUUGACGGGGACCCGCACAAGCGGUGGAGCAUGUGGUUUAAUUCNAAGCAACGCGNNNAACCUUACCAAAUCUUGANNUCCUUUGAAAACUNNANAGNUNNNNNCUUCCCCUUCCGGGGGACAAANUGA